AUCUUAUUAUUAUAUAUGUAUGUCUGAUUUCCAAUCAGGAGGCCCAUUUAGGUGGAUAAGGUA
Molecule: transfer RNA, 63 nt
Filed under: Ophiacantha linea
Lineage: Eukaryota; Metazoa; Echinodermata; Ophiuroidea; Amphilepidida; Ophiacanthidae
Description: tRNA-Gly
Source: RNAcentral